GGGGGAAACCCUGAUGCAGCGACGCCGCGUGAAGGAAGAAGUAUCUCGGUAUGUAAACUUCUAUCAGCAGGGAAGAAAAUGACGGUACCUGACUAAGAAGCCCCGGCUAACUACGUGCCAGCAGCCGCGGUAAUACGUAGGGGGCAAGCGUUAUCCGGAUUUACUGGGUGUAAAGGGAGCGUAGACGGAGCAGCAAGUCUGAUGUGAAAGGCGGGGGCUCAACCCCCGGACUGCAUUGGAAACUGUUGAUCUUGAGUACCGGAGAGGUAAGCGGAAUUCCUAGUGUAGCGGUGAAAUGCGUGGAUAUUAGGAGGAACACC
RNAcentral lists this ribosomal RNA (320 nucleotides) under uncultured bacterium. RNAcentral's name for it is "bacterial SSU rRNA". It matches the Rfam family "Bacterial small subunit ribosomal RNA", at positions 373 to 710 of the family's 1533-position model. The record is from RNAcentral.